GAUGAACGCUAGCGGCAGGCUUAACACAUGCAAGUCGAGGGGCAGCACGGGUAGCAAUACUUGGUGGCGACCGGCGCAAGGGUGCGUAACGCGUGAGCAACAUGCCCGUAUUAUGGGAAUAAUCCAGGGAAACUUGGUCUAAUACCCCAUAGCAAUUAGAAGAGGCAUCUUUUUUAAUUUAAAGCUUUGGUGGAUACGGAUUGGCUCGCGUGACAUUAGCUGGAUGGUAAGGUAACGGCUUACCAUGGCUACGAUGUCUAGGGGUUCUGAGAGGAUGAACGGCCACACUGGGACUGAGACACGGCCCAGACUCCUACGGGAGGCUG
RNAcentral lists this ribosomal RNA (326 nucleotides) under uncultured Bacteroidota bacterium. Its description in RNAcentral is "bacterial SSU rRNA". It matches the Rfam family "Bacterial small subunit ribosomal RNA", at positions 28 to 351 of the family's 1533-position model. Lineage: Bacteria; Pseudomonadati; Bacteroidota. The record is from RNAcentral.